This 497-nucleotide ribosomal RNA is filed under the name uncultured bacterium. Its description in RNAcentral is "partial 16S ribosomal RNA". It matches the Rfam family "Bacterial small subunit ribosomal RNA", at positions 28 to 507 of the family's 1533-position model. The record is from RNAcentral.
GAUGAACGCUGGCGGCGUGCCUAAUACAUGCAAGUCGAGCGAACAGACGAGGAGCUUGCUCCUCUGACGUUAGCGGCGGACGGGUGAGUAACACGUGGAUAACCUACCUAUAAUACUGGGAUAACUUCGGGAAACCGGAGCUAAUACCGGAUAAUAUAUUGAACCGCAUGGUUCAAUAGUGAAAGACGGUUUUGCUGUCACUUAUAGAUGGAUCCGCGCCGCAUUAGCUAGUUGGUAAGGUAACGGCUUACCAAGGAGACGAUGCGUGGCCGACCUGAGAGGGUGAUCGGCCACACUGGAACUGGGACACGGUCCAGACUCCUACGGGAGGCAGCAGUAGGGAAUCUUCCGCAAUGGGCGAAAGCCUGACGGAGCAACGCCGCGUGAGUGAUGAAGGUCUUCGGAUCGUAAAACUCUGUUAUUAGGGAAGAACAAAUGUGUAAGUAACUAUGCACGUCUUGACGGUACCUAAUCAGAAAGCCACGGCUAACUACGUG